UAAGGAAUAUUCCGCAAUGGGCGCAAGCCUGACGGAGCGACGCCGCGUGAAGGAGGAAGCCCUUCGGGGUGUAAACUUCUUUUCUCUGGGAUGACACGUGCCCCCGUCAAAAGGGGCGCUAGGACAGUACCAGAGGAAUAAGCCUCGGCUAACUACGUGCCAGCAGCCGCGGUAAUACGUAGGAGGCGAGCGUUGUCCGGAUUUACUGGGCGUAAAGCGCGCGCAGGCGGCACACUAAGUACGAUGUGAAAUCUCCCUGCUCAACGGGGAGGGAGCAUAGUAAACUGGUGAGCUAGAGGACGGUAGAGGGGGGUGGAAUUGCUGGUGUAGCGGUGAAAUGCGUAGAGAUCAGCAGGAACACCCGUGGCGAAGGCGGCCCCCUGGGCCGAACCUGACGCUGAGGCGCGAAGGCUAGGGGAGCGAACGGGAUUAGAUACCCCCGUAGUCC
This 448-nucleotide ribosomal RNA is filed under the name uncultured bacterium. RNAcentral's name for it is "bacterial SSU rRNA". It matches the Rfam family "Bacterial small subunit ribosomal RNA", at positions 355 to 796 of the family's 1533-position model. The record is from RNAcentral.